This 229-nucleotide ribosomal RNA is filed under the name uncultured bacterium. RNAcentral's name for it is "partial 16S ribosomal RNA". It matches the Rfam family "Bacterial small subunit ribosomal RNA", at positions 100 to 334 of the family's 1533-position model. The record is from RNAcentral.
GGACGGGUGAGUAAUGUCUGGGAAACUGCCCGAUGAGGGGAUAACUACUGGAAACGGUAGCUAAUACCGCAUAACGUCGCAAGACCAAAGAGGGGGACCUUCGGGCCUCGCGCCAUCAGAUGAACCCAUAUGGGAUUAGCUAGUAGGUAAGGUAACGGCUUACCUAGGCGACGAUCCCUAGCUGGUCUGAGAGGAUGACCAGCCACACUGGAACUGAGACACGGUCCAG